Non-coding RNA from Drosophila melanogaster (fruit fly), 799 nucleotides. The record is from Ensembl. Lineage: Eukaryota; Metazoa; Arthropoda; Insecta; Diptera; Drosophilidae.
UAGGAUAAAUGAAAAAGGCAGCGCAGGUAAAUUGGAAGCCGAGUCUUAGAAGGAUUAAAGAUUUAUUAAGAAAUGCAUCGGGCUGAAAGCUCGCAGAAGAGGAAGUCGGAAGCCGGAUGAAGGAGCUACGAUGCUCAAACGGCGAGCAAAUGAAAAGCAACUCAAGAUAAAGUAAUCAAUGGGGUUUUUAUGCGAGAAAAUUCAAACGAGCAGCUAAAGUGAUUUACAAUGAGCUAAAAAUGAUGAUGAAGACAAAAAAGAUGGUCGGAAAACUAAGACAAGAUGUUCAACCUGUCUGAAAAUUAAUGAUUAAAAUUCGCUGGUGCUAGAACGAAGAAAGAAGUUGGAACAAAAGUUUGUGCAAAUAGCAAAGAGAUUCUUAGAACCGUUCAAGGAAUCCAUGCUUUUGCUUUAAGAGAUAUUCAACUGCAAUGAAAUUUCUGCAAAUGCAUCAGAGAUUUUGCAUGAAAACAACCAUCUGCAAAAUAAUUAAACACCCAACCAUAAGUGCAGACAACUUUAUCAGCUAAGCAACAAACAGAAAACAAUGAAAACACUCUGGCAGAUGCUCAGCAACUCAUACGAAAUGCAUUUCAAUUAAAUGCAAUAAAUUAAAUAUAUAUGUAUAUCCAGCACAUACCAUCUAGCCAUAUGCCCCAGCACCCCCUGCACCAGUAACUUGACCCCCAAAAUGUUGCAUAAUUAAUUAGCCAAGCAUGUGGCGAGAAAACAAGGUCACCAACAGAUUGCAUUUUGUAUACAAAGACAGCAAAUUAUGCAGAAAAUAAGAUGCAAGCAG